UCCGUGUGUCUGUGUCUCACCUGUCUGUGUCUGUGUGUCCAUGUGUGUCCCUGUCUGUCUGUGUGUCCGUGUGUCUGUGUGUCCGUGUGUCCGUGUGUCCGUGUGUCCGUGUGUCCGUGUGUCCGUGUGUCUGUGUCUCACCUGUCUGUGUCUGUGUGUCCGUGUGUCUGUGUAUCUCACCUGUCCGUGUGUGUGUGUGUGUGUGUCUGUGUGUCCGUGUGUCUGUGUCUGUGUAUCUCACCUGUGUGUCUGUGUGUCCAUGUCCGUGUGUCCCUGUCCCUCACCUGGCCCUGUUCCACCUGUGUGUCUGUGUCUCACCUGUCUGUCUGUCCGUGUGUGUGCGUGUCCGUGUGUCCCUGUGCCCGUGUGUCCGUGUGUCUGUGUAUCUCACCUGUCCGUGUGUCUGUGUGUCCCUGUGCCCGUGUGUCUGUGUCUCACCUGUCCGUGUGUCCCUGUGCCCGUGUGUCUGUGUGUCUGUGUCUCACCUGUCUGUGUGUCCAUGUGUGUCCCUGUCUGUCCGUGUGUCUGUGUGUCCAUGUGUGUCUCACCUGUCCGUGUGUCUGUGUGUCUGUGUCUCACCUGUCUGUGUGUCCAUGUGUGUCCCUGUCUGUCUGUGUGUCCGUGUGUCUGUGUGUCCAUGUGUGUCUCACCUGUCCGUGUGUCCCUGUGCCUCACCUGGCCCUGUUCCACCUGUGUGUCUGUGUCUCACCUGUCUGUCUGUCCGUGUGUGUGCGUGUCCGUGUGUCCGUGUGUCUGUGUCUCACCUGUCCGUGUGUCCCUGUGCCCGUGUGUCCGUGUGUCUGUGUCUCACCUGUCUGUGUGUGUGUGUGUGUGUGUCUGUGUGUCCGUGUGUCUGUGUAUCUCACCUGUGUGUCUGUGUGUCCAUGUCUGUGUGUCCAUGUCUCACCUGUGUCUCACCUGUCCCCAGGUCCAAGUCCAGGACGGUCCUGAUGAGAACGGGGAGCUGUUCCUGCAGCUCUGUGUGUCCGUCUGUGUCUCACCUGUCCGUGUGUCUGUCCAUAUCUCACCUGUCCAUGUCUCACCUGUCCGUGUCUGUCCAUGUCUCACCUGUCCGUGUCUCACCUGUCCGUGUGUCCGUCUGUGUCUCACCUGUCCAUGUGUCUGUCCAUGUCUCACCUGUCCAUAUCUCACCUGUCCAUGUCUCACCUGUCCAUGUGUCUGUCCAUAUCUCACCUGUCCGUGUGUCUGUCCAUGUCUCACCUGUCCAUGUCUCACCUGUCCAUGUCUCACCUGUCCGUGUGUCUGUCCAUAUCUCACCUGUCCGUGUGUCUGUCUAUGUCUCACCUGUGUCUCACCUGUCCAGGUGGAGGUGCAGGAUGGCCCAGAUGAGAACGGGGAGCUGUUCCUGUGUGCGUGUGUGUGUGUCCAUGUCUCAACUGUCUCACCUGCCCAGGUGGAGGUCCAGGACGGCCCUGAUGAGAACGGGGAGCUGUUCCUGUGUGUGUGUGUCCAUGUCUCACCUGUGUCUCACCUGUGUCUCACCUGCCCAGGUGGAGGUGCAGGACGGCCCUGAUGAGAACGGGGAGCUGUUCCU
This 1555-nucleotide long non-coding RNA is filed under the name Cyanistes caeruleus (blue tit). Its description in RNAcentral is "lncRNA (ENSCCEG00000003536.1)". The record is from RNAcentral. Lineage: Eukaryota; Metazoa; Chordata; Aves; Passeriformes; Paridae.